CUAAAAAAAAAAUCAUGUAACAUGAAAAUGUAAAGGUAAAGGUAAAGGUAUGUUAAUCCAAAUUCCAAGCUAACAAAAACAAAGACAAGGCAUCACCAGUAUAUCCCUUGAGCUUGAAAUUAAGACAUGAAACCACAGAAUUUCCAAGGCUAGAACUAUCACAGUGGAACAAUCGGCUGGCUUAUCUGUACUCAGCCUCCGUCUCCGCGAAAAUAAUGCUAUCCAAGUUUAUAUGGAGAAAAUGUGCUGCAUUCGUCUUUUUGAACAUAUACAAGGCGAAGGGGAAAAGUGAGAAACCCCUAGAAAGAAUAGAAAUGGGUGGCAUGGGAACGACCU
This 336-nucleotide unclassified non-coding RNA is filed under the name Hevea brasiliensis (rubber tree). The record is from RNAcentral. Lineage: Eukaryota; Viridiplantae; Streptophyta; Magnoliopsida; Malpighiales; Euphorbiaceae.